This 114-nucleotide ribosomal RNA is filed under the name uncultured eukaryote. RNAcentral describes it as "partial small subunit ribosomal RNA". It matches the Rfam family "Eukaryotic small subunit ribosomal RNA", at positions 1675 to 1785 of the family's 1831-position model. The record is from RNAcentral.
GUCGCUACUACCGAUUGAAUGGCUUAGUGAGCUUUAGGGAGUGCGUCAUCCGAUUGGGUUUCCUUUCGGUUGCAUGCGUGAACUAAAACAAACUUGAUUAUUUAGAGGAAGUAA